Molecule: transfer RNA, 71 nt
Filed under: Surirella sp.
Lineage: Eukaryota; Bacillariophyta; Bacillariophyceae; Surirellales; Surirellaceae
Description: tRNA-Met
Rfam family: tRNA
About the family: Transfer RNA (tRNA) molecules are approximately 80 nucleotides in length. Their secondary structure includes four short double-helical elements and three loops (D, anti-codon, and T loops).
Source: RNAcentral
GAGAAUAAGGUUAUUGGUAACCAACCAGGCUCAUAAUCUGGCUCGUAUAGGUUCGAUUCCUAUUAUUCUUU